GCCGGGUGUGGUGGCACACACCUUUAAUCCCAGCAGUUUGGGAGGCUGAGGCAGGAGGAUCAUGAGUUCAAAGCCAGCAUUAGGAACAGCGAAGCACUAAACAACUCAGUGAGACCUUGUCUCUA
This 125-nucleotide small RNA is filed under the name Marmota monax (woodchuck). Lineage: Eukaryota; Metazoa; Chordata; Mammalia; Rodentia; Sciuridae. The record is from RNAcentral.